Molecule: ribosomal RNA, 491 nt
Filed under: uncultured bacterium
Lineage: Bacteria
Description: bacterial SSU rRNA
Rfam family: Bacterial small subunit ribosomal RNA
Source: RNAcentral
CAGGACGAACGCUGGCGGCGUGCCUAACACAUGCAAGUCGAACGGAACUAUUUGACAGAUCCUCGGGAUGAUGGAUUUAGUUAGUGGCGGACGGGUGAGUAACGCGUGAGUAACCUGCCUCUAAGAGGGGAAUAACGUUCUGAAAAGAUCGCUAAUACCGCAUAACAUAUUGAAGCCGCAUGACUUUGAUAUCAAAGAUUUAUCGCUUAGAGAUGGACUCGCGUCCGAUUAGCUUGUUGGCGGGGUAACGGCCCACCAAGGCGACGAUCGGUAGCCGGACUGAGAGGUUGAACGGCCACAUUGGGACUGAGACACGGCCCAGACUCCUACGGGAGGCAGCAGUGGGGGAUAUUGCGCAAUGGGGGGCCAACCCUGACGCAGCAACGCCGCGUGAAGGAUGAAGGUUUUCGGAUUGUAAACUUCCUUUGUUAGGGACGAAAAUUGACGGUACCUAACGAAUAAGCUCCGGCUAACUACGUGCCAGCAGCUGC